GGUCAAGUUAUUAAGGGUGCAGGGCGGAUGCCUUGGCACUAGGAGCCGAUGAAGGACGUGAUAAGCUGCGAUAAGCUUCGGGGAGUUGCACGUAAACUUUGAUCCGAAGAUUUCCGAAUGAGGAAACUCACUUAGAGUAAUGUCUAAGUAUCAUUAAGUGAAUACAUAGCUUAAUGAGGGGAACUCAGGGAACUGAAACAUCUAAGUACCUGAAGGAAGAGAAAGAAAUUCGAUUCCGUAAGUAGCGGCGAGCGAACGCGGAUUAGCCCAAACCAAUAAAGUUUUCUUUAUUGGGGUUGCGGACAUAUCAUAACGAAGAGGUAUCGUAAUUGAAGAGGUUUGGAAAGACCCACCACAGAAGGUAAUAGUCCUGUAUGUUAAACGAGAAGACUUUAGAUAUGAUCCAGAGUACCACGGGACACGUGAAACCCUGUGGGAAGCAGGAGGGACCACCCUCCAAGGCUAAAUACUACCUAGUGACCGAUAGCGUAUAGUACCGUGAGGGAAAGGUGAAAAGAACCCCGGGAGGGGAGUGAAAUAGAACCUGAAACCCUGCACUUACAAGCUGUGGAAGCACAUUUCUUGUGUGACCGCGUACUUUUUGUAGAACGGGCCAACGAGUUACGUUAAGUAGCAAGGUUAAGCACUUAAGGUGUGGAGCCGUAGCGAAAGCGAGUUUUAACUGAGCGUUCAGUUACUUGACGUAGACCCGAAACCGGGCGACCUACCCAUGAGCAGGAUGAAGCGAAAGUAAAAUUUCGUGGAGGUCCGAACCCACGAGCGUUGAAAAGCUCGGGGAUGACUUGUGGGUAGCGGUGAAAUUCCAAUCGAGCCCGGAGAUAGCUGGUUCUCCCCGAAAUAGCUUUAGGGCUAGCCUCAAGGUGAGAGAUACGGAGGUAGAGCACUGAAUGUCCUAGGGGGUAUUGCACCUACCGAAGACUAUCAAACUCCGAAUGCCGUCAUCUUAUACUUGGGAGUCAGACUGUGGGUGAUAAGAUUCAUAGUCGAAAGGGCAACAGCCCAGAUCGUCAGCUAAGGUCCCUAAAUGUAAGUUAAGUGGUAAAGGAUGUGGGAUUGCACAGACAACCAGGAUGUUGGCUUAGAAGCAGCCACUCAUUCAAAGAGUGCGUAAUAGCUCACUGGUCGAGUGAUCCUGCGCCGAAGAUUUCCGGGGCUAAAACUUACUACCGAAGCUACGGCAUCAGUAAUGAUGGGUAGGGGAGCUUCCCAUACGGGUUGAAGCAUGACCGUAAGGACAUGUGGACAGUAUGGGAGUGAGAAUGUUGGCAUGAGUAGCGAGAUGUGGGUGAGAAUCCCACAGGCCGUAAACCCAAGGUUUCCAGGGGAAGGUUCGUCCGCCCUGGGUUAGUCGGGACCUAAGCUGAGGCCGAAAGGCGUAGGUGAUGGACAACAGGUUGAUAUUCCUGUACUACCGAUAACCGUUUGAGAGAAGGGAUGACACAGUAGGAUAAGCUAAGCACACUGUUGGUUAUGUGUGCCCAAGCAUUGAGGCAGUCAAAGUAGGCAAAUCCGCUUUGAUAAUGCUGGGAUGUGAUGGGGAGCGAAAUUUAGUAGCGAAGUAGCUGAUUUCACACUGUCAAGAAAAGUCUCUAUCGAGGUUAAAGGUACCCGUACCGCAAACCGACACAGGUGGGUGAGGAGAGUAUCCUAAGGCCAGCGAGAGAACUGUUGUUAAGGAACUCGGCAAAAUGACCCCGUAACUUAGGGAUAAGGGGUGCCACCAUCAGGUGGCCGCAGAGAAUAGGCCCAAGCGACUGUUUACCAAAAACAUAGGUUUCUGCUAAGUCGCAAGACGAUGUAUAGGAGCUGACGCCUGCCCGGUGCUGGAAGGUUAAGGGGAUCUGUUAGAGCAAUCGAAGCAGUGAACUUAAGCCCCAGUAAACGGCGGCCGUAACUAUAACGGUCCUAAGGUAGCGAAAUUCCUUGUCGGGUAAGUUCCGACCCGCACGAAAGGCGUAACGAUUUGGGCACUGUCUCAACAACAGACUCGGUGAAAUUGUAAUUCCGGUGAAGAUGCCGGAUACCUGCGACAGGACGGAAAGACCCCAUGGAGCUUUACUGUAGCUUGACAUUGGGUCUUGGUACUACAUGUACAGGAUAGGUGGGAGGCUUUGAAACCAGGACGCCAGUUUUGGCGGAGCCAUCCUUGGGAUACCACCCUUGUAGUACUGGGACUCUAACCAUAGGCCAUGAAUCUGGUCUUGGGACACUGUCAGGUGGGCAGUUUGACUGGGGCGGUCGCCUCCCAAAAGGUAACGGAGGCGCUCAAAGGUUCUCUCAGUACGGUCGGAAAUCGUACGUAGAGUGUAAAGGCAAAAGAGAGCUUGAUUGCAAGACAUACAGGUCGAGCAAGGAUGAAAAUCGGACUUAGUGAUCCGGUGGUUCUGCGUGGAAGGGCCAUCGCUCAACGGAUAAAAGCUACCCUGGGGAUAACAGGCUUAUCUCCCCCAAGAGUCCACAUCGACGGGGAGGUUUGGCACCUCGAUGUCGGCUCAUCACAUCCUGGGGCUGUAGUAGGUCCCAAGGGUUGGGCUGUUCGCCCAUUAAAGUGGUACGCGAGCUGGGUUCAGAACGUCGUGAGACAGUUCGGUCCCUAUCCGUCGCAGGCGUAGGAAAUUUGAGAAGACCUGUCCUUAGUACGAGAGGACCGGGAUGGACGUACCUCUGGUGUACCAGUUGUCCUGCCAAGGGCAUAGCUGGGUAGCUAUGUACGGAAUGGAUAAGCGCUGAAAGCAUCUAAGCGCGAAGCCAACUUCAAGAUAAGAUUUCCCACCGCAAGGGUAAGACCCCAGAAAGACUAUCUGGUUGAUAGGUCGAAGGUGUAAGUGCAGCAAUGUAUUUAGCUUAUCGAUACUAAUAGGUCGAGGACUUGACCAA
RNAcentral lists this ribosomal RNA (2898 nucleotides) under Clostridioides difficile. RNAcentral's name for it is "23S ribosomal RNA". It matches the Rfam family "Bacterial large subunit ribosomal RNA". The record is from RNAcentral. Lineage: Bacteria; Bacillati; Bacillota; Clostridia; Peptostreptococcales; Peptostreptococcaceae.